UGAAAAGGGAAGUAUUUUGAUUUCCUCUCUGUUUGUGUGCACAUCAACUGAGACUCUCCAACACAAGGAUCCUGAAAUGUAGCAGGAUUAAGUUACAAUAACCUUCCUCCCUUUUCUCCCUUUUGCAAAAGGAGGGAGUGUGGGAUCAAGAUUUCAUGGAUGGGACUGGGAUGCCAGGGACAUAGAGUCUAGCUCUGACUCUACUGUGAUCUUGGGUGCUGUCAGAAGAAAACAGGUGCAAAGAAAAAUGCAACUCCAGGCUCACUCCAGUUAGAGAUGUCACAUAAAUGGAGAACAUGAAAAUGAGAAAGGUUCAAGUGGCUUCUGUAACUGCCUGCUGAGGCUCUUGGAGGUGAAUGCAGUGGGCAUGUGGCAGGAUCUGCACCCGUCCUCCCUGCUCUCUGUGGUGAACUAGAUACAGCUUUUAGGUUUUAACCAUCAUCACAACUGCAGGCUGCUGUGGUUUCAGCAAAGUCAUAUAACCUCAUGCUGUGCUGACAUUAAUACAGAUCACUUCAAUUAAUAGAGAUAACUUUGCUCUCGUUGGCAAACUGUCAUUUAAACAUGGUGUGGGAGGGGGGAGAUGAAGAGCUUUCCAUUGACCUGUUUUUUGAAGAUGCUUAGACCUUUUCCCAAAGAAGGUAAAAUUGUCAUUGAUAAAUGAUGAUCUGUACGUUCCAGCAUUAAUUAUUUAAAUUCCAUUAACUUAAUAAUAGUAUGCAAUAAGUCUUCCUGCACAGCCUUUUAGUUUUCCUCCUUUUUAUUAAAUUGGUGUUUUGAUUGAUUUGGGUUAUUUUAGCAUGGAAUAAAAAUGGGGCUGAGGCCA
Molecule: long non-coding RNA, 826 nt
Filed under: Anas platyrhynchos platyrhynchos (common mallard)
Lineage: Eukaryota; Metazoa; Chordata; Aves; Anseriformes; Anatidae
Description: lncRNA (ENSAPLG00000025188.1)
Source: RNAcentral